GAUGAACGCUGGCGGCGUGCCUAAUACAUGCAAGUCGAACGAAACUUCUUUAUCACCGAGUGCUUGCACUCACCGAUAAAGAGUUGAGUGGCGAACGGGUGAGUAACACGUGGGCAACCUGCCCAAAAGAGGGGGAUAACACUUGGAAACAGGUGCUAAUACCGCAUAACCAUAGUUACCGCAUGGUAACUAUGUAAAAGGUGGCUAUACUACCGCUUUUGGAUGGGCCCGCGGCGCAUUAGCUAGUUGGUAGGGUAAAGGCUUACCAAGGCAAUGAUGCGUAGCCGAAUUGAGAGGUUGAUCGGCCACAUUGGGACUGAGACACGGCCCAAACUCCUACGCGAGGCAGCAGUAGGGAAUCUUCCACAAUGGGCGAAAGCCUGAUGGAGCAACGCCGCGUGGGUGAAGAAGGUCUUCGGAUCGUAAAACCCUGUUGUUAGAGAAGAAAGUGCGUGAGAGUAACUGUUCACGUUUCGACGGUAUCUAACCAGAAAGCCACUGCUAACUACGUG
Molecule: ribosomal RNA, 512 nt
Filed under: uncultured bacterium
Lineage: Bacteria
Description: partial 16S ribosomal RNA
Rfam family: Bacterial small subunit ribosomal RNA
Source: RNAcentral